Molecule: RNA transcript, 1995 nt
Organism: Mus musculus (house mouse)
Lineage: Eukaryota; Metazoa; Chordata; Mammalia; Rodentia; Muridae
Gene: Gsdmd
Gene name: gasdermin D
Exons: 11
Source: RefSeq, marked provisional
AGCGCUGCGAACUUGGAGGAACCCGAACUAGAAGAAAGCGAAGCUCCCGGAUCGCAGGGAAUUCCCGAAGCCCAGGCGGGCUCCGGGGAGGAGGAGGAGGAGGAGGCUAGGGCAGGCUGCGCAGCUGUUCCGGGAGGGAGGGCUCCUUGAAAGCACCGCGCCCGCUACGUCGGGCUGAAGCUUUACGGUUUCACUUUUGUGUCCUGCCGCCUGAGUUCCGCUCUUGGUCGUGGCUCCCGUUGCUCCCGGGUUGAGCAGACAAUAGACCCCUCCCCGGCAUCCCAGCAGGUCCUCGCUUCGCUUGGUGGACCCAGAUACCUCGGCAGGGGUGAAAAAUCGAGGACCAUGCCAUCGGCCUUUGAGAAAGUGGUCAAGAAUGUGAUCAAGGAGGUAAGCGGCAGCAGAGGCGAUCUCAUUCCGGUGGACAGCCUGCGGAACUCCACCAGCUUCAGGCCCUACUGCCUUCUGAACAGGAAAUUUUCAAGCUCAAGGUUCUGGAAACCCCGUUAUUCAUGUGUCAACCUGUCAAUCAAGGACAUCCUGGAGCCCAGUGCUCCAGAACCAGAACCGGAGUGUUUUGGCUCCUUCAAAGUCUCUGAUGUCGUCGAUGGGAACAUUCAGGGCAGAGUGAUGUUGUCAGGCAUGGGAGAAGGGAAAAUUUCUGGUGGGGCUGCAGUGUCUGACAGUUCCAGUGCCUCCAUGAAUGUGUGUAUACUGCGUGUGACUCAGAAGACCUGGGAGACCAUGCAGCAUGAAAGGCACCUUCAGCAGCCUGAGAACAAAAUCCUGCAACAGCUUCGGAGUCGUGGGGAUGACCUGUUUGUGGUGACCGAGGUGCUGCAGACAAAGGAGGAAGUGCAGAUCACUGAGGUCCACAGCCAAGAGGGCUCAGGCCAGUUUACGCUGCCUGGAGCUUUAUGCUUGAAGGGUGAAGGCAAGGGCCACCAAAGCCGGAAGAAGAUGGUGACCAUUCCUGCAGGCAGCAUCCUGGCAUUCCGAGUGGCCCAACUGCUUAUUGGCUCUAAAUGGGAUAUCCUUCUCGUCUCAGAUGAGAAACAGAGGACCUUUGAGCCCUCCUCAGGUGACAGAAAAGCAGUGGGCCAGAGGCACCAUGGCCUCAAUGUGCUUGCUGCGCUUUGUUCCAUCGGAAAGCAGCUCAGUCUCCUGUCAGAUGGGAUUGAUGAGGAGGAAUUAAUUGAGGCGGCAGACUUCCAGGGCCUGUAUGCUGAGGUGAAGGCUUGCUCCUCAGAACUGGAGAGCUUGGAAAUGGAGUUGAGACAACAGAUACUGGUGAACAUCGGAAAGAUUUUACAGGACCAGCCCAGCAUGGAAGCCUUAGAGGCCUCACUAGGGCAGGGCCUGUGCAGUGGCGGCCAGGUGGAGCCUCUGGACGGCCCAGCUGGCUGCAUCCUUGAGUGUCUGGUGCUUGACUCUGGAGAACUGGUGCCGGAACUCGCAGCCCCUAUCUUCUACCUGCUGGGAGCACUGGCUGCCCAGAUCUCUCCCCAGUGCUGAGUGAAACCCAGCAGCAGCUGCUAGCUAAGGCUCUGGAGACAACGGUGCUGUCAAAGCAGCUGGAGUUGGUGAAGCACGUCUUGGAACAGAGCACCCCGUGGCAGGAGCAGAGUUCUGUGUCCCUGCCCACCGUGCUCCUUGGGGACUGCUGGGAUGAAAAGAAUCCCACCUGGGUCUUGCUAGAAGAAUGUGGCCUAAGGCUGCAGGUAGAAUCCCCCCAGGUGCACUGGGAACCAACGUCUCUGAUCCCCACAAGUGCGCUCUAUGCCUCCCUGUUCCUAUUGUCAAGUCUAGGCCAGAAACCUUGUUAGCCUGUGGGCCUCCCUUCCCACAACAUCUCCAUGUCCUACCCUCCAGCCAAGGUAGAAUCUUGCCAAGCCUAGCCUUUGGGAAGCCAAGAACCAUACUCAGUCACAGGGUUAUAAUGCACUGAGAUCCAGAAGUUGGGAAAACUCAAUAAAUGUACAAAGGAAAGCAUAA